RNAcentral lists this microRNA (22 nucleotides) under Sus scrofa (pig). RNAcentral's name for it is "ssc-mir179". The record is from RNAcentral. Lineage: Eukaryota; Metazoa; Chordata; Mammalia; Artiodactyla; Suidae.
UGCGUUCAUUCUGUUUGGCCUG